GGUUAAGUUAGAAAGGGCGCACGGUGGAUGCCUUGGCACUAGGAGCCGAAGAAGGACGGGACUAACACCGAUAUGCUUUGGGGAGCUGUACGUAAGCGUUGAUCCAGAGAUUUCCGAAUGGGGGAACCCACUAUCUUUAGUCGGAUAGUAUCCUUACGUGAAUACAUAGCGUGAGGAAGGCAGACCCAGGGAACUGAAACAUCUAAGUACCUGGAGGAAGAGAAAGAAAAAUCGAUUUCCUGAGUAGCGGCGAGCGAAACGGAAAGAGCCCAAACCAAGAAGCUUGCUUCUUGGGGUUGUAGGACACUCUAUACGGAGUUACAAAAGAAAGUUAUAAAUGAAGCGGUCUGGAAAGGCCCGCCAAAGACGGUAACAGCCCGGUAGUUGAAAUGGCUUUCCCUCCAGAGUGGAUCCUGAGUACGGCGGAACACGUGAAAUUCCGUCGGAAUCCGGGAGGACCAUCUCCCAAGGCUAAAUACUCCCUAGUGACCGAUAGUGAACCAGUACCGUGAGGGAAAGGUGAAAAGCACCCCGGAAGGGGAGUGAAACAGUUCCUGAAACCGUGUGCCUACAAGUAGUUAGAGCCCGUUAAUGGGUGAUAGCGUGCCUUUUGUAGAAUGAACCGGCGAGUUACGAUUUGUUGCAAGGUUAAGCGGAAAAAGCGGAGCCGUAGCGAAAGCGAGUCUGAAUAGGGCGCAUAAGUAACAGGUCGUAGACCCGAAACCAGGUGAUCUACCCAUGUCCAGGAUGAAGGUAAGGUAAUACUUACUGGAGGUCCGAACCCACGCACGUUGAAAAGUGCGGGGAUGAGGUGUGGGUAGCGGAGAAAUUCCAAUCGAACUUGGAGAUAGCUGGUUCUCUCCGAAAUAGCUUUAGGGCUAGCCUCGAGGUAAAGAGUCAUGGAGGUAGAGCACUGUUUGGACUAGGGGCCCUUCUCGGGUUACCGAAUUCAGAUAAACUCCGAAUGCCAUGUACUUAUACUCGGGAGUCAGACUGCGAGUGAUAAGAUCCGUAGUCGAAAGGGAAACAGCCCAGACCACCAGUUAAGGUCCCCAAAUAUAUGUUAAGUGGAAAAGGAUGUGGGGUUGCUUAGACAACCAGGAUGUUGGCUUAGAAGCAGCCACCAUUGAAAGAGUGCGUAAUAGCUCACUGGUCGAGUGACCCCGCGCCGAAAAUGUACCGGGGCUAAACAUAUUACCGAAACUGUGGAUGAACCUCUUUAGAGGUUCGUGGUAGGAGAGCGUUCUAAGGGCGGUGAAGUCAGACCGGAAGGACUGGUGGAGCGCUUAGAAGUGAGAAUGCCGGUAUGAGUAGCGAAAGAAGGGUGAGAAUCCCUUCCACCGAAUAUCUAAGGUUUCCUGAGGAAGGCUCGUCCGCUCAGGGUUAGUCGGGACCUAAGCCGAGGCCGAUAGGCGUAGGCGAUGGACAACAGGUAGAGAUUCCUGUACCAGUGCUAAUUGUUUAACCGAUGGGGUGACACAGAAGGAUAGGGAAUCGCACGAAUGGAAAUGUGCGUCCAAGCAGUGAGUGUGAGAAGUAGGCAAAUCCGCUUCUCGCGAAGCAUGAGCUGUGAUGGGGAAGGAAAUUAAGUACGGAAGUUCCUGAUUUCACGCUGUCAAGAAAAGCCUCUAGGAAGAGUAGUACUGCCCGUACCGCAAACCGACACAGGUAGAUGAGGAGAGAAUCCUAAGGUGAGCGAGAGAACUCUCGUUAAGGAACUCGGCAAAAUGACCCCGUAACUUCGGGAGAAGGGGUGCUCUAUUAGGGUGCAAGCCCGAGAGAGCCGCAGUGAAUAGGCCCAGGCGACUGUUUAGCAAAAACACAGGUCUCUGCAAAACCGUAAGGUGACGUAUAGGGGCUGACGCCUGCCCGGUGCUGGAAGGUUAAGAGGAGUGCUUAGCUUCGGCGAAGGUACGAAUUGAAGCCCCAGUAAACGGCGGCCGUAACUAUAACGGUCCUAAGGUAGCGAAAUUCCUUGUCGGGUAAGUUCCGACCCGCACGAAAGGCGCAACGAUCUGGGCACUGUCUCAACGAGAGACUCGGUGAAAUUAUAGUACCUGUGAAGAUGCAGGUUACCCGCGACAGGACGGAAAGACCCCGUGGAGCUUUACUGCAACCUGAUAUGGAAUGUUUGUACCGCUUGUACAGGAUAGGUAGGAGCCGAAGAGACGUGUGCGCUAGCAUACGAGGAGGCAAUGGUGGGAUACUACCCUGGCUGUAUGACCAUUCUAACCCGCCACGCUUAGCGCGUGGGGAGACAGUGUCAGGUGGGCAGUUUGACUGGGGCGGUCGCCUCCUAAAGAGUAACGGAGGCGCCCAAAGGUUCCCUCAGAAUGGAUGGAAAUCAUUCGCAGAGUGUAAAGGCACAAGGGAGCUUGACUGCGAGACUGACAAGUCGAGCAGGGACGAAAGUCGGGCUUAGUGAUCC
RNAcentral lists this ribosomal RNA (2428 nucleotides) under Listeria monocytogenes. RNAcentral's name for it is "partial 23S ribosomal RNA". It matches the Rfam family "Bacterial large subunit ribosomal RNA", at positions 1 to 2421 of the family's 2925-position model. The record is from RNAcentral. Lineage: Bacteria; Bacillati; Bacillota; Bacilli; Caryophanales; Listeriaceae.